GUCGCUCACGAGGUCGCGCCUCGCACCCGCCUUCCUCCUUUUCUUUUACCCUCCCCUUCAGAAAAAACGGCGGUUGGGCUGCGACGGCCGCCAAAGGCGGACUAGAAGCGGAGGGGUGAAAAUCCCGGCAGAGAAGGAAGAAGGGACUGCAGGCGGGAGGAGGAGGAGGAUAAGGAGGAAGGGAGCCCGCCCAGCCGGAGCCAUCUCCGUCGAGAACAAAAUGGCGGCGCUGGCGGAGGGCCAACUAUAAGGCGGGGCCGCGGCCAUUCCCCCUCCACCCCCACCCUUGCGCCGGCCGGGCCGGUCAGGGGGAACCCGCUCGCUUCGCCCGGCCGCGGGCGGGGAGGGGAGGGGAGCGGCCCGGCCCACUAUGCAAAGCGCCGGGCGCCGCCGCCGCCACCCCGUGGCAAAGAAUAUGCUUUUUGUCUAAUGAUGUUAGAUAAAAAGCAAAUUUGGAGCAGUUUUCUUAUUCGAGUUCAAAAUGGUUCAUAAAGCAGCGAAGACAACUCAAAACAUCAGUAACACAUUUGGCCCAGGAACUGCUAACAAACAUACAGUGCAGUGGUGGCUUAAGAAGUUUUGCAAGGAAGAGAGCCUUGAAGAUGAGGAACGUGAUAUGGGCCAUGGGAAGUUGACAACGACCAAUUGAGAGCAAUCAUUGAACUACAUGAAAAAUUACAGAAGAACUCAGCGUUGACUAUUCUACGGUCAUUAGGGUCGUUCAGCAUUCGAAGCAAAUUGGAAAGGUGAAAAAGCUUGAUAAGUGGGUGCCUCAUGAGCUGAGCGGAAAUCAAAACUAUCGUUUUGAAGUGUAGUCUUCUUUUAUGCUACGCAACAACAAACCAUUUCUCAAUCGGAUUGUGACAUGUAAUGAAAAGUGAAUUUUAUACAACAACCAGCUCAGUGGUUGGACCAAGAGGCAGCUCCAAAGCAGUUCCCAAAGCCAAACUUGCACCAAAAAAAAGGUCAUGGUCACUGUUCGGUGGUCUGCUGCCCAUCUGAUCCACUACAGUUUUCUGAAUCCUGGUGAAACCAUUACAUCUGAGAAGUAUGCUCAGCAAAUUGGUAAGAUGCACCGAAAACUGCAAUACCUGCUGCCUGCAUUGGUCAACAGAAAGGGCCCAAUUCUUCUCCACGACAACACCUGACUGCGUGUCGCACAACCAGUGCUUCAAAAGUUGAAGGAAUUGGGCUACAAAGUUUUGCCUCAUCCACCAUAUUCACCUGACCUUUCGCCAACUGACUACCACUUCUGCUAGCAUCUUGACAACUUUUUGCAGGGAAAACACUUCAGCAUGGUGCAGAAAAUGCUUUCCAAGAGUUCGUCAAAUCCUGAAGCACGGAUUUUUAUGCUACAGGAAUAAACAAACAUUUCUCAUUGGCAAAAAUGUGUUGAUUGUAAUGGUUCCUGUUUUGAUUAAUAGAAUAUGUUUUAGCGUAGUUACAAUGAUUUAAAAUUCGCAGUCUGGAAAUUUAAUUUUUGCAUCAACCUAAUAUUUCUAUGGUAAAUCCUUGCAAACAUGGAAACAAUGCAUUUGGCCCAGUGCUUUGUGGUUGUGUACUCUUUUUCUUUGUUUUUUUAAUAGAUGGCAUUGGCCGGGCAUGGUGGCUCAUGCCUGUAAUCCCAGCAUUUUGGGAAGGUGAGGUGGGUGGAUCACCUGAGGUCAGGAGUUCAAGACCAGCCUGACUAACAUGGUAAAACCCCAUCUCUACUAAAAAUACAAAAAAAUUAGCUAGGCGGGGUGGCGGGCAUCUAAUUCCAGCUACUUCAUGAGGCUGCGACAGGAGAAUCAUUUGAACUCGGGAGGCAGAGGUUGCAGUGAGCCGAGAUCACACCAUUGCACUCCAGCCUGGGCGAUGAGCGAAACUGUCUCAAAAAAAAAAAAAGUUGGGGUCUCGCUGUGUUGACCAGGCUGGUCUCGAACUCCUGGCCUCAAGUGAUCCUCCCAUCUUGGCCUCCCAAAGUGUUAGGAUUACAGGCGUGAGCCACCACACCCUGCCUGGUUGUGUACUCUUUUAAAUACUAAGUUUUUAAUGUUAAAUGCUGCUUUUAGAUACACUGUAAAAAUACACCUAUCAAUGAGUUUUUUUAUUAAAAACAUUGCAAUUGUACUAGACUUUAAAUACUAAGCAAUAAUUCAGGCUUCAAUGUUGGUUUAUAGUUUUCUCAUUUCUUUCAUUUAAUACCUCUGUAAAAUGAAGCAGUUACUUCCAUUUUCCUGAGGUGAGAUAAGUGCCCUGCACAAUGUUAUAGGCCCAGUAAGUGAGACUGGAGCUCUGAUCUAAUCCCUUUGACAUUAAAGUUUGUGCAGUAAACCAGCUAUGUCAGUUUGCCACAUUUGUAAUAGUGUUCAAUAAAUUUUCACUUAAAGGUUUAAUAUUAAAGUAGUAGCAAGAAUUCAUAACCUUAAUUGGCUUUAACAGCUUUUCUUUCCCUGAAAACAGAUGCAUAUGUACACAUGCACACAGAUUGCUUACAAUAUCAGCACGUAAAAGGCCUUUGCACAUUGAAGUCGGCACUGCUUUGGUGCCUUUUUUGUUUUUUGGCUCGGUGUUUUGACUGCAAGUCUUUUUGGAUAGAAUUUUAUAGUUAGAAAGUAGCUAACACUUGGGUUUUAUAGGCACAAAAAACAAGUCUUAUACUAGCUGUACUUUAUUUUUUGAGUUCUUAUUAAUGAGGAACAUCCACUUUUGCAUUGACAGUGAUUUCAAGAUUGCUUUAUCAGCCUUUAAAGGAUUCUUGACUAGUCGUGCACAUCAGAACUGCCAGGUCCCCAGUGGUUCUGAAGCAGUAAGCUUUGGGUGGGCUCUGGCAUCAGCACUUUCACUAAGCUUCACAGAUAAUUCUGAUGCAUACUCCAGGCCUGAACCACUGAUCAAUUUGAAACAUGCAUAACAAAGCAAAAAAAGUUUUGUUUCACCUUUUGAAAUACAGUUAACUCUUUUACCAUGCCAGAGAUCAUUCAGAGAGACAGGUCGUUGCUCCGGAGUGAUACAGAUCUGGCAGUACCCAGCCCUUGUGUGUGUGCGUUAGCUCAGCACCUGCCCACACUGCGAGCCCCCGUAGGAUGUGCCUUGUCCUUCCCUGUUUCAGCACUUAACACACUACCUGCCCCU
RNAcentral lists this long non-coding RNA (3117 nucleotides) under Homo sapiens (human). Its description in RNAcentral is "non-protein coding FGD5-AS1:22". Lineage: Eukaryota; Metazoa; Chordata; Mammalia; Primates; Hominidae. The record is from RNAcentral.